ACGGGUGAGUAACACGUGGGCAACCUGCCCUGUAGAUUGGGAUAACUCCGGGAAACCGGGGCUAAUACCGAAUAAUCCAUUUCCUCACAUGGGGAGAUGUUAAAAGACGGUCUCGGCUGUCACUACAGGAUGGGCCCGCGGCGCAUUAGCUAGUUGGUGAGGUAACGGCUCACCAAGGCGACGAUGCGUAGCCGACCUGAGAGGGUGAUCGGCCACACUGGGACUGAGACACGGCCCAGACUCCUACGGGAGGCAGCAGUAGGGAAUCUUCCACAAUGGACGAAAGUCUGAUGGAGCAAUGCCGCGUGAGUGAAGAAGGUUUUCGGAUCGUAAAACUCUGUUGUGAGGGAAGAACAAGUAUGAGAGUAACUGCUCGUACCUUGACGGUACCUCAUUAGAAAGCCACGGCUAACUACGUGCCAGCAGCCGCGGUAAUACGUAGGUGGCAAGCGUUGUCCGGAAUUAUUGGGCGUAAAGCGCGCGCAGGCGGUCCCUUAAGUCUGAUGUGAAAUCCCACGGCUCAACCGUGGAAGGCCAUUGGAAACUGGGGGACUUGAGUACAGAAGAGGAAAGCGGAAUU
Molecule: ribosomal RNA, 580 nt
Filed under: uncultured bacterium
Lineage: Bacteria
Description: bacterial SSU rRNA
Rfam family: Bacterial small subunit ribosomal RNA
Source: RNAcentral